GGCAUCUGAAAAUCCCUUUAAUAAUGAUUGUUACUAUUAACUAACCUAACAUGUGAAUUAAUGAGCUGAUAAACUAAUCACCGACCAACCAAAAUUCCAACCAUGCUUUUAAUUUGGAUUUCAAGCUAACUGAAUCAACACUCUUGAAGACAACUCAUGUAAUUUGAUAUUGUUUAGGAAAAGCACAGUCCAGCAGUCUAUAUUUAACGUUAUGAAUUCACAUAAGGAAUUGAACUACAUUAAUACUAUACUAAUACUGAUAUAAAGAAGGACAGUUCUAGUUUAAACGUCCAAACAGUCACAAACAGUCGGAGUGUGCCCAAUUUAAUUACAACAAACUAUGAUGAGGCAUCGAAACACAUAAAACUACAAUAGAAUCAUGCUUCAAUCUUUAUUUCAUUUUCAGAAUUGAGAAUUACACAGCGUGUACCUGGAGUUUGAGUCAAAAGAAAAAGAAGGAGAAGUCAGUAGCAGUCAACAAGUGAUCAAAUGCACCCAGAAAUAUUUCAGCAAACCAGAAGUGUUUUAAAACCAAGCAUAACUAACAGAUCUAUCCAAAACAGCACCAAACAAACCAGAAAUGAACCCAUCACGUCAUCACGAUUAGUAAAUAUCCAACAAAAAAAAGAACUAGUCAGAUCCCAUGCACAAAUGACUCGAACUGCUUUUAAACUUUAAUAUCGAACAGAAACAGAGAACUUCAAGCUAUUUUCUGAUCCUAAAUGAGCUAGAGAAUUGAAUUAAGGACUGAGAUCUGAAAGUGACUUAAGGAACACUAAUAUAACAAUAAUUUUUGGAUUUUCUAUUGCGUUUGUGUAUUUUUUUUUAGAUUUUUAGAUGAAGAGAGAGUUUCGAAUUUUAGAUCUGGUGUUCUAAUCUGAAAUUCAACUUUUAGUUUUGGUGGAGACUUAGGGGAUCUUUGGGGGGAAUUUUUAGAUGUGAAAAACUUCCUCAUCAAGGCAUGCAGACUGCCCUUUUAUAGGCACACAUGAGGCUCUAUCAGAUUUUCAUACUUUGCAUAUUAUCCUUCUUUUAUUUAUUCAGUUUCACUCAUUUAGGCCCUUACUUUCUAACUUGUGUCUCAAGUUACUAUCCUAAAUUUACUAAAAUCUGAACUAAGCCCUAUUCUAGAAGGAUCUAGUAAAUUUUAGUUUAUGUUUCUAUUUAUGGAUUACCUAUAUUAACCCCAUCUUAUUCUGAAAUUUACUAGACUAAAAUAACCCUCUUAACCUAUUCCAGAUAAUCAACUAUCAACCAAGCAGACCUUAAAUCACCCAAAACAAACUUAAUUAAUCAGAAAAAGUAGAACUAUUAAAAACAAAAAAGUAAUACUAAAGUGAAGAACAAUUAUACUAAACUAAAGAAGAUCUUAAAACAAAUUUAACCAAAACAAAAAUUAGACUAACAGAAUCAAAACAGAGAUUAUCAUCUAUACUUUAAAAAAACAGAACAAAGGGUAGAACACGUACUGAGUUAUGGCUAAUAAUCAAAAACAAAACAAUUAAACCUCUAUUGUUUUUGUUUUACAGCUGUUUUUCCUUUUAUCCUAUGCGCCCAGGGUCGAUUGGAAACAACCUCUCUACCCGAAAGGGUAGGGGUAAGACUCUUCUACAUAUUACCCUCCCCAGAUCCCACCUGGUGGGAGUAUACUGCCCAGAUCCCACCUGGUGGGAGUAUACUGGGUAGUAGUUGUUAUUGUUGUAAAACAAUUAAACCUAUAACCUAAACUUAGACUGAGAUGGAUUAAUUCAAGUGACCAAUUAUUAUGACUCAGAAUGAACCAAAUAAGCACAAAAAAUAUAGAAAACAAACAAAAUUGGACUCCAACUAAUUUAAAACAACUAAUUAAUUACAAGGAAAUACAAAGGAAAAACUCACCGCUGUUUUCAUAUUCAAAAAUUGGACAACUCCAGUAAUAUUUGAGUGUUAUUGACCGUGGAUUCUUCAUGAGGAGAGUGAGGAGGCCCUCUGGCAUUGAUUUGAUAAAUUUUGGAAAAAUAGGGUUUUGGUCCGAAAACUUCAAACUAAUAUUGGAGCAGUUAUGGACAGAUUCGAGGGAAACUGGUUGAGGGUUUAGGAAGAGGAGGUGAGAGGGAUGUAUGGUGUAAAUUUGAGGCGGUUUGGAGACCUUUGGGUUUUGGCCGGAAAACUUCGAUCCAAUAUUCGACAAGUUUAGGUGGUGUUUGGGGACUCGCCGCCGCCGUGAGGCGAAUUCCGACGGCGAUUCACGGCGGCAUUACGUUAGGGUUUGUGAGGGGUAUGGAGACGGUGAUAGAAGGGGGGAGCGUAGUUCAAUC
RNAcentral lists this long non-coding RNA (2297 nucleotides) under Nicotiana benthamiana. RNAcentral describes it as "long non-coding RNA (NBEN_LNC006104)". The record is from RNAcentral. Lineage: Eukaryota; Viridiplantae; Streptophyta; Magnoliopsida; Solanales; Solanaceae.